ACUUAAAGGGAUUGACCUGCA
RNAcentral lists this non-coding RNA (21 nucleotides) under Arabidopsis thaliana (thale cress). The record is from RNAcentral. Lineage: Eukaryota; Viridiplantae; Streptophyta; Magnoliopsida; Brassicales; Brassicaceae.